ACUCAAAUGAAUAGACGGGGGCCCGCACAAGCGGUGGAGCAUGUGGUUCAAUUCGACGCAACGCGAAGAACCUUACCGGGGUUUGAACUGCACGGGACAGCCUCAGAGAUGAGGUCUUCCUUCGGGACUCGUGCAGAGGUGCUGCAUGGCUGUCGUCAGCUCGUGUCGUGAGAUGUUGGGUUAAGUCCCGCAACGAGCGCAACCCUCGCCUCCUGUUGCCAUCAGGUCAAGCUGGGCACUCUGGAGGUACUGCCGGCGAUAAGCCGGAGGAAGGUGGGGAUGACGUCAAGUCCUCAUGGCCUUUAUGCCCCGGGCUACACACGUGCUACAAUGGCUGGUACAAAGGGUUGCAAAACCGCGAGGUGGAGCUAAUCCCAAAAAACCAGUCCCAGUUCGGAUUGCAGUCUGCAACUCGACUGCAUGAAGUUGGAAUCGCUAGUAAUCGCGGAUCAGCACGCCGCGGUGAAUACGUUCCCGGGCCUUGCACACACCGCCCGU
RNAcentral lists this ribosomal RNA (498 nucleotides) under uncultured bacterium. RNAcentral's name for it is "partial 16S ribosomal RNA". It matches the Rfam family "Bacterial small subunit ribosomal RNA", at positions 899 to 1397 of the family's 1533-position model. The record is from RNAcentral.